GACUCUCGGCAACGGAUAUCUCGGCUCUCGCAUCGAUGAAGAACGUAGCGAAAUGCGAUACUUGGUGUGAAUUGCAGAAUCCCGUGAACCAUCGAGUCUUUGAACGCAAGUUGCGCCCGAAGCCGUCAGGCCGAGGGCACGCCUGCCUGGGGGUCACGC
Molecule: ribosomal RNA, 159 nt
Filed under: Acacia pubicosta
Lineage: Eukaryota; Viridiplantae; Streptophyta; Magnoliopsida; Fabales; Fabaceae
Description: 5.8S ribosomal RNA
Rfam family: 5.8S ribosomal RNA
About the family: 5.8S ribosomal RNA (5.8S rRNA) is a component of the large subunit of the eukaryotic ribosome. It is transcribed by RNA polymerase I as part of the 45S precursor that also contains 18S and 28S rRNA.
Source: RNAcentral